This 241-nucleotide ribosomal RNA is filed under the name uncultured bacterium. Its description in RNAcentral is "partial 16S ribosomal RNA". It matches the Rfam family "Bacterial small subunit ribosomal RNA", at positions 100 to 334 of the family's 1533-position model. The record is from RNAcentral.
CCGGCACGGGUGAAUAACACGUAUGCAAUCCACCUGUAACAGGGGGAUAACCCGGAGAAAUCCGGACUAAUACCCCAUAAUAUGGGCGCUCCGCAUGGAGAGCCCAUUAAAGAGAGCAAUUUUGGUUACAGACGAGCAUGCGCUCCAUUAGCCAGUUGGCGGGGUAACGGCCCACCAAAGCGACGAUGGAUAGGGGUUCUGAGAGGAAGGUCCCCCACAUUGGAACUGAGACACGGUCCAA